This 497-nucleotide ribosomal RNA is filed under the name uncultured bacterium. Its description in RNAcentral is "partial 16S ribosomal RNA". It matches the Rfam family "Bacterial small subunit ribosomal RNA", at positions 28 to 507 of the family's 1533-position model. The record is from RNAcentral.
GAUGAACGCUGGCGGCGUGCCUAAUACAUGCCAGUCGAGCGAACAGACGAGGUGCAUGGUCGCCUGAGGUUGGCGGCGGAAGGGUGAGUAACACAUGGAUAACCUAACUACAAGACUGGGAUAAAUUUGGGAAACCAUAGCUAAAACCGGAUAAUAUAUUGAAUAUGAUGGUUCCAUAGUUAAAGACGGUUUUUGUGUCACUUAUAGAUUGACACGCGGCGCAUUAGCGUGUCGGCAAGGUAAAGGCUUAGCAACGCAACGAUGCGAAGCCGACCUGAAAGGGAGAUUCGCCACACUGGCACUGAGACUCGGCCCAGACUCUGACGGGAGGCAGCAGUAGGGAAUCUUCCGCAAUGGGGGAAAGCCUGACGGAGCAACGCCGCGUGAAGGAUGAAGUACUUCGGCUUGUAAAACUCUGUAAUUAGGGAAGAACAAAAGUUUUAGUAACUGUGAUCAUAAUGACGGUACCUUAUCAGAAAGCCACGGCUAACUACGUG